Non-coding RNA from Canis lupus familiaris (dog), 95 nucleotides. The record is from Rfam. NCBI's taxonomy places the organism in Eukaryota, Metazoa, Chordata, Mammalia, Carnivora, Canidae.
AAGGGGAGCACUGGAUCCCGGGCUGUGUCCCCUGGCACCUUGUGCUCCGGGGCCUGCGCCACUGAAAUCAUGCUCCCGGGACCGCGCAGCCCCCU